Molecule: long non-coding RNA, 782 nt
Filed under: Heterocephalus glaber (naked mole-rat)
Lineage: Eukaryota; Metazoa; Chordata; Mammalia; Rodentia; Bathyergidae
Description: lncRNA (ENSHGLG00100043230.1)
Source: RNAcentral
CAGCCACCCCAGGUGUCUGUCCCAGAGCUGCCCCUAAGCCUGACCUCUGAGGGGCCUUGCAGGGAACCCAGCAGCCAGGUGGACUUUUCCAGCUCUGGAUGAAUGUGAACAGGGCCAUGCCUGGGGCCGAGUCAUCGCUUGCUCACCGACCUUCGGGAUCCUCCACCUGAGGGCCAGAAUGCUCUCCGGUGCUCGAGCCCUGUUAGGGCUGGUGUCCAUCUCCACCACUCUGCUCCUCUGGCAAGACUGGAACUCUGCCCGUCCCUCCUGCCCUGGCGGCUGCCUUCUGUGAGCCCCGUCUGUGCUCAAGGCCACCCGACCCUUUGUGUGACUGGCCCGCCCGUGCUACCGCAGGUGUCUUUUCAGCCACCUGGUUCCACACUACAAAGACGCAGAGGACAACCGACCACCAGGCCACGGUACUGAGUCCCGCUGCUCCCGGCACAGAGCCCUAGGUGGUCGGCACAGGUGCUGCUGCCUCCCGGGCACCUGCCCUUCUGGCUGCUGUCUGGUGUCCCCUCCAGCCUCAUUCAGAAUGAGCCAGCAUUUGCACGGUGCCCGGCUGUGUCCUGCCAGCCUUCCCUCCACCAGGACACCCUGGAACCUUGUCCUCAUUGCUGACUGUGUGCCCCUGGACUCCCGCCCUGAGCUCACAGCGUGUCCUUCAGCCACCGUCUCUGAAAAUCCACGGUCUGAUAACUCGAUGACUCUCACAGCAAUCCCAGCCCUUGUUUCACGGUGGCAGAGCCAGCUGUCGCUCUCCCCACCAGUGCUAGGACAGC